UUCUUAUCAAGAGGAACAAGCAUUGCUGUUUGUUGUAAGCGGUUGGGAGUCGCAGUAUCGGACUCCUCGUGUACACCCAAAUAUUCAGGGUCUUUCAGGCUGAGCCUUGCCAGAUCUUGGACAGACUUGGUCUGGGUUGCUGAAAACAAUAAGGUCUGCCUAUGCUUAGGCAAUUGUGAAAUGAUUGCAUUUAGAUCCCUCUUAAACCCCACAUCAAGAAUACGAUCUGCUUCAUCAAGAACUAAAACCUGAAGUUGUGAACAAUCAAAAUUUGGUGUCUCAUCCAUAUGCUGAAGAAGCCGACCAGGAGUACAGACCAGGAUGUUCAAUCCAUUAACAUGUUCUUUUUCAGCAUCAACAUCUUUGCGGCCACCAAUCAGAAGGCCAGCACUGAAGCCUUGAUGUUUCCCAACAGAUUUAAGUACUUCAAAAAGUUGACCUGCUAACUCCCUUGUGGGA
This 459-nucleotide unclassified non-coding RNA is filed under the name Hevea brasiliensis (rubber tree). The record is from RNAcentral. Lineage: Eukaryota; Viridiplantae; Streptophyta; Magnoliopsida; Malpighiales; Euphorbiaceae.